CCUGUUGGCAAGAGUAAUCCUGCGUUGGAUUUCCAGGCUGAAUAUUUUCCAGACAUUCGUGGGAAAUUAUUGUGGAAUGCUUGGGAUCGACAUUGCUUGUGCCCGUUGUAACUCGGUAGAAUUCACUGUUCGACGCAGUAACGAAGUUACUUUGGGCCAAGGACAAGUUGAAUCCUUUGUGCGAAAGACUCAGCUUGUCACAAUUUUCUCCGAGCGAUUUGCAGGAUCUGGAGAUGUACCAGUUGUUAAUGGGGCCUAUUGCUCGUGCCUUGGACUACCUUCAAGGAGAAAAUAACGUGCAUUACGGCUGCUUAAUUCCGACUCUGAUGACCCUCAGCAAUAGAUUAAAUAAGCUGCAAAACAAGCCAGAAAUGCAGCAAGUUUCCUCUGUGGUUGCUAAAUUGGAGCAGCGUUUGAGAGAUCGAUUUGACGCAUUUUUUACUUUAAAACCGGAGGCCAAUAUAGCACUAGCGGCAACUGUACUAACUCCAGAUAUUAAAAUGAGCUGGAUCAAGGUGUUGUAAAGGAUAAAACCGGAGGUGACAGCAGCGGACAUAAGUAUCUGGGUUUUAAACACAAUUUGCGAUUUCUAUGCAAAAGAUAAUCGUGCUUUCAAUGCACAAAUAUUGAAAAGUAAUGAAUUAUUUGCAAAUAAUAGGCAUUUUGAUUUUGACCUCAACGACACAGAUAACGAAGAAGGAACAAAUGCUACUCCUGAGCCAAGUGCUAGUGAUCGUCGGGCUUUUUUGACCCAUCACUUUUUCUGUUACUUAAAUGACAAUUCAAGAACAGACGACACUUGGGUACAACAUUGCAGUCUAAAAGAAGCUUUGGUUGCCUUUAAUACUCCCCUGACAUCCUCAGCACCAGUA
Molecule: long non-coding RNA, 872 nt
Organism: Bactrocera dorsalis (oriental fruit fly)
Lineage: Eukaryota; Metazoa; Arthropoda; Insecta; Diptera; Tephritidae
Exons: 3
Source: RefSeq, a predicted model, not a curated record